This is a long non-coding RNA of Myotis lucifugus (little brown bat), 790 nucleotides long. RefSeq lists it as uncharacterized. Lineage: Eukaryota; Metazoa; Chordata; Mammalia; Chiroptera; Vespertilionidae. The transcript has 2 exons. The record is from RefSeq and is a predicted model, not a curated record.
AUAUUGCUCUAUAUGUUGUUGAAGAAGGGAGCUGACAGAAAUCUUACUGCCUGGUGACAGGUGUUACACGCUGGCCGUGGAUACCUGUGGGACCUUCUCAGUUCACUGCAGGCUAUUCUUUUGUAAAUCACAGCCACCAUUCAUUCUUUACUAGUUUCCGAUGAAUAUGCACAAUUCCACUGAAUCAUAGUGUCGUCCUGGGUGUUGAUGUAGUAGAAGCUGACUCUGGAUCAUCUAUGAGAGGAAGGAGUAGAAGAGAAAUAGAAAACGAGAUUAAGACUUUCCCCCUCAAGGGCAAGAAGGGAGCCCAUAGAAACGAGUCGUCGCACCAAAUCUAAGCUGACUGAUAUUUCCGAAGAGGGGACAUGAGGGGUCACUCUUAUAUAGGGGCAGCGAUAUCAUAUUCCAGAAGCAUCAGAGGAAACCAAUACCUGGAGUGACCUCUUUGCAGUCUCGCUUUAACUAGUCUCCAGCUAUAAUUGAAAAGAAUGCAGGUAAUUUCUGAAGCAUCAUAGUUGCAGAAGUGCUCGUCGUCCUUCGGAUCUUGUGUGCUUCCUGGGUCCCUGCCUGGUACACUCUUUCCUCAGGUCGCACUUGUCACAUCCUCAGGUAAUAUCAGCUACAACGUCUGCCUGCCCUGGCCUCUCUCUUACUCUCCCACAUUGCACUCAUUGCCACCCAAGCUAAAGAUACCGACAAUCUAGAAAAUGCCAUAAGCAAAAAUACUGUUAAUCUAGUCAUUUUAAAAUUUGUUGGAAUAAAGACCUAUAAGAUACAGUAGAGUUAUAAA